GGUCUGUAGCAAUACAGAUGCUGGCGACCGGCAAACGGGUGCGGAACACGUACACAACCUUCCUUAAAGUGGGGGAUAGCCCGGGGAAACCCGGAUUAAUACCCCGUAACAUAAUGAAGUGGCAUCACUUUAUUAUUAUAGCUACGGCGCUUAAAGAUGGGUGUGCGGCUGAUUAGGCAGUUGGCGGGGUAACGGCCCACCAAACCUACGAUCAGUAACUGGUGUGAGAGCACGACCAGUCACACGGGCACUGAGACACGGGCCCGACUCCUACGGGAGGCAGCAGUAAGGAAUAUUGGUCAAUGGACGCAAGUCUGAACCAGCCAUGCCGCGUGGAGGAUGAAGGUCCUCUGGAUUGUAAACUUCUUUUAUCUGGGAAGAAACCCAAGAUUUUUAUUUUGGUUGACGGUACCAGAUGAAUAAGCACCGGCUAACUCCGUGCCAGCAGCCGCGGUAAUACGGAGGGUGCAAGCGUUAUCCGGAUUCACUGGGUUUAAAGGGUGCGUAGGUGGGUUGGUAAGUCAGUGGUGAAAUCUCCAGGCUCAACUUGGAAACUGCCAUUGAUACUAUUAAUCUUGAAUACCGUGGAGGUCAGCGGAAUAUGUCAUGUAGCGGUGAAAUGCUUAGAUAUGACAUAGAACACCAAUUGCGAAGGCAGCUGGCUACACGAAUAUUGACACUGAUGCACGAAAGCGUGGGGAUCAAACAGGAUUAGAUACCCUGGUAGUCCACGCCCUAAACGAUGGAUACUCGACAUACGCGAUAUACAGUGUGUGUCUGAGCGAAAGCAUUAAGUAUCCCACCUGGGAAGUAC
This 814-nucleotide ribosomal RNA is filed under the name uncultured Sphingobacteriales bacterium. Its description in RNAcentral is "bacterial SSU rRNA". It matches the Rfam family "Bacterial small subunit ribosomal RNA", at positions 71 to 883 of the family's 1533-position model. The record is from RNAcentral. Lineage: Bacteria; Pseudomonadati; Bacteroidota; Sphingobacteriia; Sphingobacteriales.